This 515-nucleotide ribosomal RNA is filed under the name uncultured bacterium. RNAcentral's name for it is "bacterial SSU rRNA". It matches the Rfam family "Bacterial small subunit ribosomal RNA", at positions 8 to 521 of the family's 1533-position model. The record is from RNAcentral.
AGAGUUUGAUCCUGGCUCAGGAUGAACGCUGGCGGCGUGCUUAACACAUGCAAGUCGAACGAAGCAUUUAAGACGGAUUCUUUCGGGAUGAAGACUUUUAUGACUGAGUGGCGGACGGGUGAGUAACGCGUGGGUAACCUGCCUCACACAGGGGGAUAGCAGUUGGAAACGGCUGAUAAUACCGCAUAAGCGCACAGUACCGCAUGGUACAGUGUGAAAAACUCCGGUGGUGUGAGAUGGACCCGCGUCUGAUUAGCUUGUUGGCAGGGUAACGGCCUACCAAGGCAACGAUCAGUAGCCGACCUGAGAGGGUGACCGGCCACAUUGGGACUGAGACACGGCCCAGACUCCUACGGGAGGCAGCAGUGGGGAAUAUUGCACAAUGGAGGAAACUCUGAUGCAGCGACGCCGCGUGAGUGAAGAAGUAAUUCGUUAUGUAAAGCUCUAUCAGCAGGGAAGAUAGUGACGGUACCUGACUAAGAAGCUCCGGCUAAAUACGUGCCAGCAGCCGCGGU